Dictyocaulus viviparus (bovine lungworm) is the source of this 46-nucleotide non-coding RNA. The record is from Rfam. Lineage: Eukaryota; Metazoa; Nematoda; Chromadorea; Rhabditida; Metastrongylidae.
CAAAAGGCUGUAUUCACAGCUAUCCAAGAUUUCAGGAUCACGGAAU